CCUACGGGUGGCAGCAGUGGGGAAUAUUGCACAAUGGGGGGAACCCUGAUGCAGCGACGCCGCGUGAGAGAGGAAGUAUUUCGGUAUGUAAAGCUCUAGCAGCAGGGACGAAAAAAGACGGGACCGGACGAAGAAGCCCCGGCUAACUACGUGCCAGCAGGCGCGGGAAUACGGAGGGGGCAAGCGUUAACCGGAUUUACGGGGUGUAAAGGGAGCGGAGACGGCAAGGCAAGCCAGAAGGGAAAGGGCAGGGCUCAACCCUGUACAUGCUUUUGGAACUGUGGUGCGAGCGUGCAGGAGAGGUCAGUGGAUUUCCUAGUGUAGCGGUGAUAUGCGUCGAUAUUAGG
RNAcentral lists this ribosomal RNA (347 nucleotides) under uncultured bacterium. RNAcentral's name for it is "partial 16S ribosomal RNA". It matches the Rfam family "Bacterial small subunit ribosomal RNA", at positions 338 to 701 of the family's 1533-position model. The record is from RNAcentral.